UUAAAAAGUAAGAAGUAAAAUAUUGGCCUUUUUCAUUUUCUUUUAUUUUUAAAAUCUCCCACACAAAACCCGAUCGUUCUCUCUCAAGUUUGUCAUCCACUCCACCCCUUAAGCUCACAAGCUUGACCUCCACACUCUGCUUCGCUACGCCUUGGCCUAUCUUUGGUCCUUCACGCAUUGGCUUCAAUUUGAUCGUUUUCAGUUGGGCAACUGAGGAAUUGCUUCAACCUUUUCACUUUGUUGUUGUCUGAGGCUUCAAGCUCUUGGGUUUUCGUGGGUACUCAGCAGCUGACAUUGGUUGAGCUCUUCUCAAUUCUUGGUGUUUCGGCCAUGGAUGUUCUGAAGCACAACAUUAUACUCUUGAUGAUGUGUUCUUACCCGAAUUCUUUGAAAUCUUCACCCAUUGCAUUCACAAAAUAGUCAUUGACUGAGCAGUGGCUGUCAGCACUAUAUCUGAAAGAAAGUGUUUCUUUCCAUGGAAGUUUGGAGGAGAACCUGCCAAUGAAGCUACUGGCAUAUCCGCAGUGGUCACCAGUCUUUCUCUGAGCCCUUUGCUUCUGUGAGAGUUGCAUGCCAAAGAACAAGUCCA
Prunus avium (sweet cherry) is the source of this 589-nucleotide long non-coding RNA. RefSeq lists it as uncharacterized. NCBI's taxonomy places the organism in Eukaryota, Viridiplantae, Streptophyta, Magnoliopsida, Rosales, Rosaceae. The record is from RefSeq and is a predicted model, not a curated record.